UAGGGAAUAUUGGACAAUGGGUGAGAGCCUGAUCCAGCCAUGCCGCGUGCAGGAAGAAGGCGUUAUGCGUUGUAAACUGCUUUUGGCCAGGGGAUAAAAAGACCGUGCGCGGUUAAUUGAAGGUACCUGGUGAAUAAGCCACGGCUAACUACGUGCCAGCAGCCGCGGUAAUACGUAGGUGGCAAGCGUUGUCCGGAUUUAUUGGGUUUAAAGGGUGCGUAGGUGGCCCUGUAAGUCAGUGGUGAAAUAUCUCAGCUUAACUGAGAGGGUGCCAUUGAUACUGCAGGGCUUGAGUACAGAUGAGGUAGGCGGAAUUGACGGUGUAGCGGUGAAAUGCAUAGAUAUCGUCAAGAACACCGAUAGCGAAGGCAGCUUACCAAGCUGUAACUGACACUGAGGCACGAAAGUGUGGGGAUCAAACAGGAUUAGAUACCCCAGUAGUCCCUGAG
This 449-nucleotide ribosomal RNA is filed under the name uncultured bacterium. Its description in RNAcentral is "bacterial SSU rRNA". It matches the Rfam family "Bacterial small subunit ribosomal RNA", at positions 355 to 801 of the family's 1533-position model. The record is from RNAcentral.